RNAcentral lists this transfer RNA (72 nucleotides) under Odocoileus virginianus texanus. It matches the Rfam family "tRNA". Rfam says of the family: Transfer RNA (tRNA) molecules are approximately 80 nucleotides in length. RNAcentral also lists the same sequence under 4 other names. Lineage: Eukaryota; Metazoa; Chordata; Mammalia; Artiodactyla; Cervidae. The record is from Rfam by way of RNAcentral.
UCCCUGGUAGCUCAGAUGGUAAAGCGUCUGCCUACAAUGUGGGAGACCCGGGUUCAAUCCCUGGGUCGGGAA